GCCCUGGUGGUACAAAUGGCUAACACACUUGGCUGCUAAACAAAAGGUUGGUGGUUGGAGUCCACCCAGAGGUG
This 74-nucleotide transfer RNA is filed under the name Loxodonta africana (African savanna elephant). It matches the Rfam family "tRNA". From Rfam's summary of the family: Transfer RNA (tRNA) molecules are approximately 80 nucleotides in length. Their secondary structure includes four short double-helical elements and three loops (D, anti-codon, and T loops). Lineage: Eukaryota; Metazoa; Chordata; Mammalia; Proboscidea; Elephantidae. The record is from Rfam by way of RNAcentral.